RNAcentral lists this ribosomal RNA (274 nucleotides) under uncultured bacterium. RNAcentral describes it as "partial 16S ribosomal RNA". It matches the Rfam family "Bacterial small subunit ribosomal RNA", at positions 523 to 796 of the family's 1533-position model. The record is from RNAcentral.
AUACAGAGGGUGCGAGCGUUAAUCGGAAUUACUGGGCGUAAAGCGCGCGUAGGCGGUUAUUUAAGUCAGAUGUGAAAUCCCUGGGCUCAACCUAGGAACUGCAUCUGAAACUGGGUAACUAGAGUUUGGGAGAGGGGAGUAGAAUUUCGGGUGUAGCGGUGAAAUGCAUAGAGAUCCGAAGGAAUACCAGUGGCGAAGGCGACUCCCUGGCCUAGAACUGACGCUGAGGUGCGAAAGCGUGGGUAGCAAACGGGAUUAGAAACCCUAGUAGUCC